UACGAAGGGGGCUAGCGUUGCUCGGAAUGACUGGGCGUAAAGGGCGCGUAGGCGGAUGGCACAGUCAGAUGUGAAAUUCCUGGGCUUAACCUGGGGGCUGCAUUUGAUACGUGUGAUCUAGAGUGAGGAAGAGGGUUGUGGAAUUCCCAGUGUAGAGGUGAAAUUCGUAGAUAUUGGGAAGAACACCGGUGGCGAAGGCGGCAACCUGGUCCUUGACUGACGCUGAGGCGCGAAAGCGUGGGGAGCAAACAGG
This 253-nucleotide ribosomal RNA is filed under the name uncultured bacterium. Its description in RNAcentral is "partial 16S ribosomal RNA". It matches the Rfam family "Bacterial small subunit ribosomal RNA", at positions 524 to 776 of the family's 1533-position model. The record is from RNAcentral.